GUGGGGAAUAUUGGACAAUGGGGGGAACCCUGAUCCAGCCAUGCCGCGUGUGUGAAGAAGGCCUUUUGGUUGUAAAGCACUUUAAGCGAGGAGGAGGCUACCGAGAUUAAUACUCUUGGAUAGUGGACGUUACUCGCAGAAUAAGCACCGGCUAACUCUGUGCCAGCAGCCGCGGUAAUACAGAGGGUGCAAGCGUUAAUCGGAUUUACUGGGCGUAAAGCGCGCGUAGGUGGCCAAUUAAGUCAAAUGUGAAAUCCCCGAGCGUAACUUGGGAAUUGCAUUCGAUACUGGUUGGCUAGAGUAUGGGAGAGGAUGGUAGAAUUCCAGGUGUAGCGGUGAAAUGCGUAGAGAUCUGGAGGAAUACCGAUGGCGAAGGCAGCCAUCUGGCCUAAUACUGACACUGAGGUGCGAAAGCAUGGGGAGCAAACAGGAUUAGAAACCCCGGUAGUCC
Molecule: ribosomal RNA, 451 nt
Filed under: uncultured bacterium
Lineage: Bacteria
Description: partial 16S ribosomal RNA
Rfam family: Bacterial small subunit ribosomal RNA
Source: RNAcentral